This is a long non-coding RNA of Gavia stellata (red-throated loon), 978 nucleotides long. RefSeq lists it as uncharacterized. The record is from RefSeq and is a predicted model, not a curated record. NCBI's taxonomy places the organism in Eukaryota, Metazoa, Chordata, Aves, Gaviiformes, Gaviidae. The transcript is spliced from 4 exons.
AGUACUGUGACCCUCCUGCGGGCUGAAGCUGCGGGAGACUUUAGGUGGUGAUUGUCCAGGUCUGGUCCUGCCCUGCAAAGAAAAUAACCGUCUGCCCGGACACGGCCGGUGCGCCGCUUCCUCUUCUGGGGAUCGCGUCCGUAGUGCGCCAGCAGCGCUCCCCAAAGCUGGCUGUGGAACGAUAAGAGAGUUUCCACCCUGCGUUUGUGGCAGCAAAAUCUGCCAAUCAUGGCAAAUUACACAAACGAUUCUGCGGAGGCUAAACCAAGAUUGCUGAACUCAUUUUCAUGCAUGGCUAAACACAGAAUUGAACCUCAUGCUCCAGAAGUGAAAGAUGACUUUCUGGAUCAAGGAGUUUAUAGAGUUGCAAGGAGAGACUGGAAGAAAACUUGGAAGAGACGCUGUAGAGUCUACUAACUAGAUAAAUCACAUAACCUAACUUGAAAAUGUUGGAAGGCUGGGAGGUACCUGACUUGAGAAGAGGGUUCCGCCUAGCAGAAAUGCUAAGCACCUACAGAUUCAACUGAAGUUGAUGUGGGCUGCUCUUAUAAACCACAGUGUACUUUAAGUUGUUUCUUUCAAAAAAAAUCAGCUCAAAUGAGGCAUUUUAGCAAAACCUUUUAAGCUUAAUUUCUUUGUUUCAGUUUCCAGUCUCUAACAUGAGUAAGAGCACUGUCCUCUCGCUUGCAAUGAAUUGUGAAAAUCAGUUUAUUGGUACAUGUGAAGCACUCAGGAGCAGUAGUGGUGGCCGUUCUGAGGAAAUGAAUGCCUGUGAAAAGGGUUUGAAUUAGUAAAUAGACAUGAGGUGAUAUGUGGAACAAAAAGGGAAAAAAUGUACUAAAUAGCUGCUCACUGGUGAGCACUGACAAUUCUGUGUACAGAAUGAAGCAAACAUCCUGGGGAAAAAUAGUGUGCGAGGGUGUAUUUGAAGACUUCAUCAUGCUGUGGAUUGCGCAAGGAAGCCAAAUAAAGAUUGCA